This 862-nucleotide long non-coding RNA is filed under the name Theobroma cacao (cacao). RNAcentral describes it as "long non-coding RNA (TCAC_LNC003007)". Lineage: Eukaryota; Viridiplantae; Streptophyta; Magnoliopsida; Malvales; Malvaceae. The record is from RNAcentral.
GAGCUAGAGAGAGAAAAUCACUCAAGCUUCAAAUCAAGCUUCCAUGAAGUUUUGAAGAAACGUGAGGGAGGAGAAGAAGAAGAAGAAGACCAGCUACUAGAAAUUCAGGGUAUUUAUAGGCCAAUCUUAUCCUUUCCCAUAAAAUUACGAAAAUGCCCUUCCACCAAUUAACUUAUUCUCCUCCAAUCUUUUAUGUAAUCUUUUUGCUCUUUUAACACUAGGACAAGAUCCAUAAUGGUCUAAACAUACUCGGGUUCAUAAAAACUUAAAAUUUUAACCCGAGGUGAAAAAUGACCAUUUUGCCCCUGUUAUGAAAAUUAUUGAAUCUUCUAGUUUUCUUCGUGUUUUCAUCAGCACACAUCAUUUAUACUGUCUUAUGCCUAUUUAGGCCUUAAAAUAUCAUAAAGCUUUCUUCUGGAAGCUUAUUAGAGAAAAUGACGAAACUACCCCUAGCCCAUAUUAUUACAUCUAUACUUAGUUACAAGCCUAUAGAAGUUGGGGUAUCACACAGCCAUUGAUGGGUGGUGGAAAAAUGGAUUCUUUUCUUAUUGUUUUGUUUCUAAACAUGCUUAACUAACUAUAAACACCAACAUAACUCAAAAUCAAAUCAAUCUAACAUCAUUCUCUCUCCAUACCCAUUCUGACCAGCCAUGAAUUCAUCAUGAAAACAUGUAAUUUAACCAUGGAAAAUGAGGAGAAAUGCAUGGGAAAGAAAGAUCUCAAGCUUAAUUGAAAAAUUUUACCUUUUUUUCACUUGUUUUCUUGAAUUUUCACACUUUUCCCUUGAAUAUUUCCACCUAGGGUUUGUUCUCUUCCUUUUCUUCUUUUGUUCUUCUUUGGUCUUGGUUUGGCUGACCAUAUG